AGUGGCGGACGGGUGAGAAACACGUAAGAAUUUGCCUUUAGGAGGGGGAUAACAACUGGAAACGGUUGCUAAUACCCCAUAUGCUUUCGAGUGAAAUGGAUUUCCGCCUAAAGAGAAGCUUGCGGCUGAUUAGCUUGUUGGUGAGGUAAUGGCUCACCAAGGCGACGAUCAGUAUCUGGUUUGAGAGGACGAUCAGACACACUGGAACUGAGACACGGUCCAGACUCCUACGGGAGGCAGCAGUGGGGAAUUUUCCGCAAUGGGCGAAAGCCUGACGGAGCAAUACCGCGUGAGGGAUGAAGGCCUAUGGGUUGUAAACCUCUUUUUUCAGGGAGGAACAAAAUGACGUGUACCUGAAGAAUAAGCAUCGGCUAACUCCGUGCCAGCAGCCGCGGUAAGACGGGGGAUGCAAGUGUUAUCCGGAAUCACUGGGCGUAAAGCGUCUGUAGGUGGUUAAGUAAGUCAACUGUUAAAUCUUGAGGCUUAACCUCAAAAUCGCAGUCGAAACUGCUUGACUAGAGUAUAGUAGGGGUAAAGGGAAUUUCCAGUGGAGCGGUGAAAUGCGUAGAUAUUGGAAAGAACACCGAUGGCGAAGGCACUUUACUGGGCUAUUACUAACACUGAGAGACGAAAGCUAGGGUAGCAAAUGGGAUUAGAUACCCCAGUAGUCCUAGCUGUAAACAAUGGAUACUAGAUGUUG
Molecule: ribosomal RNA, 700 nt
Filed under: uncultured bacterium
Lineage: Bacteria
Description: bacterial SSU rRNA
Rfam family: Bacterial small subunit ribosomal RNA
Source: RNAcentral